AUUGAACGCUGGCGGAAUGCUUUACACAUGCAAGUCGAACGGCAGCACGGGGCAACCUGGUGGCGAGUGGCGAACGGGUGAGUAAUACAUCGGAACGUGCCCAGUCGUGGGGGAUAACGUAGCGAAAGUUACGCUAAUACCGCAUACGAUCUAUGGAUGAAAGCGGGGGAUCGCAAGACCUCGCGCGAUUGGAGCGGCCGAUGUCAGAUUAGGUAGUUGGUGGGGUAAAGGCCUACCAAGCCGACGAUCUGUAGCUGGUCUGAGAGGACGACCAGCCACACUGGGACUGAGACACGGCCCAGACUCCUACGGGAGGCAGCAGUGGGGAAUAUUGGGCAAUGGGGGAAACCCUGACCCAGCCAUGCCGCGUGAGUGAAGAAGGCCUCGGUUGUAAAGACUCUUUCGGUCAGGAACGAAACGGACGAGCUCUAACAUAGACUCGCUAAUGACGGUACC
RNAcentral lists this ribosomal RNA (456 nucleotides) under uncultured bacterium. Its description in RNAcentral is "bacterial SSU rRNA". It matches the Rfam family "Bacterial small subunit ribosomal RNA", at positions 29 to 479 of the family's 1533-position model. The record is from RNAcentral.